Molecule: ribosomal RNA, 254 nt
Filed under: uncultured bacterium
Lineage: Bacteria
Description: partial 16S ribosomal RNA
Rfam family: Bacterial small subunit ribosomal RNA
Source: RNAcentral
UACGUAAGUGGCGAGCGUUAUCCGGAAUCACUGGGCGUAAAGGGCGCGUAGGCGGUCGUGACAAGUCACUUGUGAAAUCUCCGGGCUUAACUCGGAACGGUCAAGUGAUACUGUCGGACUAGAGUACAGAAGGGGCAACUGGAAUUCUCGGUGUAGCGGUGAAGUGCGUAGAUAUCGAGAGGAACACCUGCGGCGAAGGCGGGUUGCUGGGCUGAUACUGACGCUGAGGCGCGAAAGCCAGGGGAGCGAACGGG